Molecule: long non-coding RNA, 1334 nt
Organism: Amblyraja radiata (thorny skate)
Lineage: Eukaryota; Metazoa; Chordata; Chondrichthyes; Rajiformes; Rajidae
Exons: 3
Source: RefSeq, a predicted model, not a curated record
GGCGCCACUGGGCCUCACUUCGGGUCACCGUAGAGCUGAAAAUACGAAAUGCUAUGCCAUGAUAAUGAGUGUCCUGGAGGAAGGUGAGGGAUGGUACGAGUCCCUGUGUGCAUUAAUCACACGGGGCAAAAGGCUUUUGGCAGGCUGAUGCUGACAACUUCAGUUUCACAGCAUAUGCGGCUGGAAAGAUCGCCUUCUCUGUCAAGGGGAGGCACCAGAAUAACUUUAAAGGCAUCAAAUAUCCUCCCUGACGCUGGAUGGAAAGCUCAUCUAGAAGGUGACAGGAUGAAAUGUGAAACCUGCAGAAGCACUUAGAGACAACGACGAGUCAUUCACAAUUGAAUGAGCCAAGAAAGGUAGGAGUACUAAUGAAAAUUAAAUGGAACUGGAAAUAUUCAGAAGAGACUGGCAGUAAUAUCCUUUGGCAGUAGAUAUCAAACGUAGAUAUUAACUCUUUGCUACAGUAGGACAAAUCUUUAAAAAAAAGAGGAAACAGAAAUAUAUUUGUAUUUCAAAUGUUCUGCCCCAUUAAUGUGACUGCUGCCAGAUUGGUUAAGCCUCCUUAGGAAUUCGCAGAACUUCCCAAACCGGAAUUCUGAGCUCAUCCAAAUAUUAAGAAGGGAUCGAGCUUUUUUUAAGGCCCUGUUUGGAAAACUGAUGUAGGAGAAUAUUUGAUUUGACCAUUCAACCAGAAAAACAUGGCAUGACUCUCAGAUAUAGCAAGACAUAGCAGUUUCCCAACCAGCAUUAAGAGGUCGUGGCUCAGAGCUUAAUCUUCUAAAAAGACAAAUCCACUGCCCCAGGAAUCAACCUGGUGAACUUUUGCUGUACACUCCUUCUUGGAAAACACAUCCUUCCUAAGGACAUAUAACAAUAAAACACUCUUGAUGACUUGAUUCACUGGUGGAUUUGCCACUCAGUCCAGUGUCAGAGCAUUAAUGUACUGAGCAGGGGGACCAGAUGUAGUUCACAAAUUGUGGCAGUAGCAUGACCCUGAAUGAAAAGGUAAGUGCAAGUUAACAGCUUAGUUAUUUUACUUUAUCUCAACACACGCCAAGUCGUGUCAGAUAAUUGUAAAUGUUAUUAAAGUUUUCAAACUAAUUAAUUAAUUAAUUAUAUAAUCAUACAAUUAUGGCAGCCGAUGACACAGCUGUUGCCUCACAGUAUCUGAUGCUGACCUUGGCUGCCGUCUGCGUGAGGUUGCACAUUCUUCUCGUGACCAUGUGGGUUUUCUCCGGGCUGCCACGGUUUCCUCACACAUUCGAUGCGAGCGUCGACAGGUUAAUUGCCCGAAGUGUGUCGGGAGUGCAUAACAAAGUGGGAUGACAUGGAAC